UUGCGCUGACUCGUUUGGUUUGAGAAACGAACGUUCAACAGGCAUGCUGAAAAUGGAAUUUGCUGCACGGGUGCCGCCUUUAUCAAGAAGAGUCACAGUGGUCGAUUUGCAACUGUGCUGCAAACUGUCCUUCUCUUUCCACACCAACGCAGCACUGAUAUUUGCCACGGUUCUUCAAAAAAUGGACUCAUAUUUAUUUUUGCACAUCUUACGUUGACCAUCUUUGGAAAUGCUUUUACUUUCACAUGAUUAACAGAGAAAAUUGGCAAUUGUAUUCAGUUUGGUGAAAAAAAUUUACUUGUUUUUGUUUUUUACUUCACAACCAACAAUCAAUUUUUCUUGAAUAACGCACAACCAUGGAGAGCCAAUUAUGGAAAUCGGAUUUACAUGCGGCAUGGGUACAGGGUUCAUUUUCAAAUCAAAUGUUAACACAGUAGCGGGAGAAUGGUGCGACUAAAACUAGCGAAAUGUAUUCGAAAGACGACCUUCUUUUUCUUCUUACAACCAACAUUUAAACGCCAUUUCAAAUGUUUAAAUUCAACAUUAAGACAAUAAACAGCAGCAAUAUGAAAAUGCACAAUUUUAAACAGGAAAUACACACCGUAAAAAACAAGUGACUUUUGCUGGGCUGGUUCUUUUUCAAAAGCGUGAACAUUUCUGCGGUAACGUUUGUCACAUUUUCAAUUUCACUUUCUUUCUUUUCGCGGUUCAGCUUCAACUUCUUCAACUCUUCAGUUAAAUCUGAAAUUAUAUCCGAUUCCAUGGUCAUAAGAUGCUUAAAAAAUAUAAAGAAAUUUUAAAAAAUGAAAUAAAAUAUUGACAUUCAUCAAUAAAAGAACAAUCGUCAUAAAAUAACAACUUUAACCGAAGAUCAUCAUAGAAAGAUACAAGCAUAGUAAACUGUAGUCCCCGAUAGAAUAAUGUAGGUAAGGGAAGUCGGCAAAACGGAUCCGUAACUUCGGAACAAGGAUUGGCUCUAAGGGCUGGGCCGAUCGGGCUGAGGUUUCAAGCGUGCAGUGUAUGCUUGGCUGAGUUGUGUUGAGGACUUGUUCACUUGCCGCCGUUUGUUCGGUUGGUCUAGUGUAUUCGAGUCUGAAGCAGAGCUGGCCGACAGACCGGCACGUGCAGAACCUGAGCUGCGCGGCUGUCCGUUUACGUGUACAGACCGUUUCGGUCGGCAUUCAACAGCCAACUUAGAACUGGCACGGACACAAGGAAUCUGACUGUAUAAUUAAAACAAAGCAUUGCGAUGGCCGAUGAUCGGUGAUGACGCAAUGUGAUCUCUGCCCAGUGCUCUGAAUGUCAAAGUGGAGGAAAUUCAAUCAAGCGCGGGUAAACGGCGGGAGUAACUAUGACUCUCUUAAGGUAGCCAAAUGCCUCGUCAUCUAAUUAGUGACGCGUAUGAAUGGAUCAACAAGAUUCCUUCUGUCCCUAUCUACUAUCUAGCGAAACCACAGCCAAGGGAACGGGCUUGGCGAAAUCAGCGGGGAAAGAAGACCCUGUUGAGCUUGACUCUAGUCUGACUCUGUGAAGAGACAUGAAAGGUGUAGCAUAGGUGGGAGAUUGUCAAAUUGCCAUCGUUCGCGCGGUGGUCCGGUGAUCGCCAAUGAAAUACCACUACUUUGAUCGUUUCUUUACUUAUUCGGUAAAGCGAAAAAAUUGUGGCCAAUUUGGCGGUGUUUAUGUCGCUGUUGGUCAUUGUUUUCAUGUUAGAUUGAAGCUUUGUUUACAGCCGUCGCUUUGUGUCGCCAUUUGACGCAUUGUUGUACUGGGUUAUCCCGGUGUGUGGUGUAGUCAGUAUGGAUGAUCGGCGAUAGGUUUGAAGUGAUUCGCUCCGGAAACAGUGUCAGACGGGGAGUUUGACUGGGGCGGUACAUCUGUUAAACGAUAACGCAGGUGUCCUAAGGUAAGCUCAGCGAGGACAGAAACCUCGCUUAGAGUAAACGGGCACAAGCUUACUUGAUUUUGAUUUCCAGUACGAAUAGAAACCGCGAAAGCGUGGCCUAUCGAUCCUUUUGAUUGUGUAGAUUUCAUGCAAGAGGUGUCAGAAAAGUUACCACAGGGAUAACUGGCUUGUGGCAGCCAAGCGUCCAUAGCGACGUUGCUUUUUGAUCCUUCGAUGUCGGCUCUUCCUAUCAUUGCGAAGCAGAAUUCGCCAAGCGUUGGAUUGUUCACCCACCAAUAGGGAACGUGAGCUGGGUUUAGACCGUCGUGAGACAGGUUAGUUUUACCCUACUGAUGACAAGUCGUUGCGAUAGUAAUCCUGCUCAGUACGAGAGGAACCGCGGGAUCAGACAUUUGGUUCAUGCGCUCGGCUGAAAGGCCGGUGGCGCGAAGCUAGCAUCUGCAAGAUUAUGACUGAACGCCUCUAAGUCAGAAUCUUUUCUAGUCAUUGGCAACGAUAAGUUGCGUCCAGACUCGAUGCGAGGAAACGAUUAGGCUUUGCUAUACGGCGAAGCCAUUAUCAGACCACGGUAGCAGGCAGUAUGGGAUUGUUACGAAAAAGCAAUUUUUUGAAGUCAGUUGAAUUCAAUCAAACUGCUAACAAUUCCACUGCGAAUGACUCCAUUCGAAUCAAU
Molecule: ribosomal RNA, 2579 nt
Filed under: Trichinella murrelli
Lineage: Eukaryota; Metazoa; Nematoda; Enoplea; Trichinellida; Trichinellidae
Description: eukaryotic LSU rRNA
Rfam family: Eukaryotic large subunit ribosomal RNA (bases 912-2551)
Source: RNAcentral